UCCCCGUUAUCCUGGGCACGUGUUUCCACGCGUUACACCGACGUGUCAAGCCCAGGUAAGGUUCUUCGCGUUGCGUCGAAUUAAACCACAUGCUCCGCUGCUUGUGCGGGCCCCCGUCAAUUCCUUUGAGUUUUAGCCUUGCGGCCGUACUCCCCAGGCGGCACACUUAAUGCGUUAGCUGCGGCGCCGAGGGGGUCGAUACCCCCGACACCUAGUGUGCAUCGUUUACGGCGUGGACUAC
This 241-nucleotide unclassified non-coding RNA is filed under the name uncultured bacterium. RNAcentral's name for it is "contains 16S-23S intergenic spacer region". The record is from RNAcentral.